This is a non-coding RNA of Deltaproteobacteria bacterium DG_8, 99 nucleotides long. Lineage: Bacteria; Deltaproteobacteria. The record is from Rfam.
UGAGUAAAAUAAAAAGUUAUUGACAACUAUAGAUUAUAUGUUUUAAAUAUAAGGCAAAUUGACCGCUUGGAUCCACUUAAGUUGGACCGAGACGGAAGG